This 445-nucleotide ribosomal RNA is filed under the name uncultured bacterium. Its description in RNAcentral is "partial 16S ribosomal RNA". It matches the Rfam family "Bacterial small subunit ribosomal RNA", at positions 354 to 796 of the family's 1533-position model. The record is from RNAcentral.
GUAGGGAAUAUUGCGCAAUGGAGGCAACUCUGACGCAGCCAUGCCGCGUGCAGGAAGAAGGCGCUACGCGUUGUAAACUGCUUUUAACCGGGAAGAAACCCCAGGACGUGUCCUGGGUUGACGGUACCGGAGGAAUAAGCACCGGCUAACUUCGUGCCAGCAGCCGCGGUAAUACGAAGGGUGCAAGCGUUAUCCGGAUUCAUUGGGUUUAAAGGGUGCGUAGGCGGAGCGUUAAGUCAGUGGUGAAAUCCUGCAGCUUAACUGUAGACUUGCCAUUGAUACUGGCGCUCUUGAGUGCGCUUGAAGUGGGCGGAAUGUGCCGUGUAGCGGUGAAAUGCUUAGAUAUGGCACAGAACACCAAUUGCGAAGGCAGCUCACUAAGGCGAUACUGACGCUGAGGCACGAAAGCGUGGGGAUCGAACAGGAUUAGAAACCCCAGUAGUCC